RNAcentral lists this unclassified non-coding RNA (391 nucleotides) under soil metagenome. RNAcentral describes it as "partial contains 5.8S ribosomal RNA, internal transcribed spacer 2, and large subunit ribosomal RNA". The stretch from base 1 to 122 matches the Rfam family "5.8S ribosomal RNA", at positions 35 to 154 of the family's 154-position model. The record is from RNAcentral.
GAUGAAGAACGUAGCGAAAUGCGAUACUUGGUGUGAAUUGCAGAAUCCCGUGAACCAUCGAGUCUUUGAACGCAAGUUGCGCCCGAAGCCAUUAGGCCGAGGGCACGCCUGCCUGGGCGUCACACGUCGUUGCCCCCCCAUCUACUCCUUCGGGAUUGCGGGGAGCGGAUGAUGGCCUCCCGUGCGCCUUGUCGCGCGGUUGGCAUAAAUGCCAAGUCCUCGGCGACGCACGCCACGACAAUCGGUGGUUGCGAAACCUCGGUUGCCCGUCGUGUGCGGUCGUCGCGCAUCGAGGGCUCGAAAAAAGUGUCGGGCUCCGGCUCGGCUUUCAACGCGACCCCAGGUCAGGCGGGGUUACCCGCUGAAUUUAAGCAUAUCAAUAAGCGGAGGA